Molecule: transfer RNA, 75 nt
Filed under: bioreactor metagenome
Description: tRNA-Met
Rfam family: tRNA
About the family: Transfer RNA (tRNA) molecules are approximately 80 nucleotides in length. Their secondary structure includes four short double-helical elements and three loops (D, anti-codon, and T loops).
Source: RNAcentral
GGGCCUAUAGCUCAGCGGUAGAGCCACCGGCUCAUAACCGGCUGGUCCCUGGUUCGAUCCCAGGUGGGCCCACCA